GACGAACGCUGGCGGCAGGCCUAACACAUGCAAGUCAAACGGCCCUUCGGGGCAGUGGCGCACGGGUGCGUAACGCGUGGGAAUGUACACCUUGGUAAGGAAUAACUGCUGGAAACGGUAGCUAAUACCUUAUAAUGACUCCGGUCCAAAGAUUUAUCGCCAAGGGAUCAGCCCGCGUCAGAUUAGAUAGUUGGUGGGGUAAUGGCCUACCAAGUCUACGAUCUGUAGGGGGUCUGAGAGGAUGAUCCCCCACACUGGUACUGAGACACGGACCAGACUCCUACGGGAGGCAGCAGUGAGGAAUAUUAGACAAUGGGCGAAAGCCUGAUCUAGCCAUGCCGCGUGAGUGAAGAAGGCCUUAGGGUUGUAAAGCUCUUUCAAUAGUGAAGAUAAUGACGGUAGCUAUAGAAGAAGCUCCGGCUAAAUUCGUGCCAGCAGCCGCGGUAAAAGUCGUACGAU
Molecule: ribosomal RNA, 459 nt
Filed under: uncultured bacterium
Lineage: Bacteria
Description: bacterial SSU rRNA
Rfam family: Bacterial small subunit ribosomal RNA
Source: RNAcentral